AAGUCGUAACAAGGUUUCCGUAGGUGAACCUGCGGAAGGAUCAUUAACACUUUUUCUUUGAGUUUUUCUCAGCAUGUGCGCACAGUAGGAACUCGUUUGCCAUAGAUCGACGCGUUAUGAUUGGAAGCUCGAAAGGGCUUGGCGCGCCGGUAAUUUGGCUGACGGGGAAUAAAACUCAGUCUCUAAUCAUGGCUGGAAUUUUUUUUUACUUGAUUUUCGAACUGAUUUUAGGCAACGAUCGAGACCCUCUCUCUCUCCAGAGCGGGCCUCUCUGCGCCUCAGAUGAAUUUUUCUUCUUAGAAAAAUCUCUUCAACAUUAAACACAACUCUUAACAGCGGAUAUCUCGGUUCUCGU
Molecule: unclassified non-coding RNA, 355 nt
Filed under: fungal sp.
Lineage: Eukaryota; Fungi
Description: partial internal transcribed spacer region
Rfam family: Eukaryotic small subunit ribosomal RNA (bases 1-46)
Source: RNAcentral